UUCCGGUUAAUCCUGCCGGAGGCUACCGCUAUUGGAGUUCGAUUAAGCCAUGCGAGUCGAGAGUCUUAGGGACUCGGCGUACCGCUCAGUAACACGUGGGUAACCUGCCCUAUGCUGGGGGAUAACCUCGGGAAACUGAGAAUAAUACCCCAUAGUUCACCACGCCUGGAACGGUGGGUGGAUGAAAGCUCCGGCGGCAUAGGAUGGGCCUGCGACGUAUCAGGUCGUAGGGGGUGUAACGUACCCUCUAGCCAUCAACGCGUACGGGUGUUGGGAGACAUAGCCCGGAGAUGGAUUCUGAGACACGAAUCCAGACCCUACGGGGUGCAGCAGGCGCGAAAACUUGGCAAUGCGAGCAAUCGUGACCAGGGAACUCCAAGUGGCUGGGGUAAUACCCAGUUUUUUCUUGACUCUUCAAAGGUCUUGGAAUAAGGGGUGGGUAAGGACGGUGCCAGCCGCCGCGGUAAUACCGGCGCCUCAAGUGGUAGUCGCUUUUAUUGGGCCUAAAACGUCCGUAGCCGGUCUGGUGCAUUCGUGGGUAAAUCAACCCGCUCAACGGGUUGAAUUCUGCGAGCACGGCCAGACUUGGGACCGGGAGAGGUGUGGGGUACUCUCAGGGU
Molecule: ribosomal RNA, 620 nt
Filed under: uncultured Candidatus Poseidoniales archaeon
Lineage: Archaea; Methanobacteriati; Thermoplasmatota; Candidatus Poseidoniia; Candidatus Poseidoniales
Description: bacterial SSU rRNA
Rfam family: Archaeal small subunit ribosomal RNA
Source: RNAcentral